Molecule: long non-coding RNA, 272 nt
Filed under: Elaeis guineensis (African oil palm)
Lineage: Eukaryota; Viridiplantae; Streptophyta; Magnoliopsida; Arecales; Arecaceae
Description: long non-coding RNA (EGUI_LNC067874)
Source: RNAcentral
AUCUAAUCUAAACAACAUAAAAUUAGAUCUACACAUAUAUAAAUUCAUACCAUAUCGAACAAGGCUCUAAUACCAAUUGAAAGAAAUACUGACAGUUCUAUACAUGUAAUUUUAAAAUUUUACAGCAGAUCUCGAUAGAUUAAACAAUUUAACUUAUAUUAUAUAUACAAGAUCUAAUCUAAACUAUCAUGCCAAGACCUAUGAUAUGAUAAAAUAUGAGAUUAAGAUCUGAAAAAUAAAAAUCUGCAUCAAUCAUAUCGAUACUAUAGACU